GCGCCUGUAGCUCAGUUGGCAGAGCGGUGGGAGGGUACCCCACGGUCCCGGGAUUAAGUCCAGGCUGUCGCU
This is a non-coding RNA of Phthorimaea operculella (potato tuberworm), 72 nucleotides long. NCBI's taxonomy places the organism in Eukaryota, Metazoa, Arthropoda, Insecta, Lepidoptera, Gelechiidae. The record is from the annotation of a GenBank genome assembly.